GACAGAUACUGUUCCAACAUCGACAAGCACUGGCUGAACAGCUAAAGGUCACAGAAGACCCUGCUCUUAUUCUGCACCUCACAUCAGUCCUGUUGUUUCAGUUUUCAACCCACAGCAUGCUCCAUGCACCUGGAAGAUGUGUCCCACAGAUCAUUGCUUUUCUUAAUAGUAAAAUUCCAGAGGAUCAGCAUGCUCUUUUGGUAAAGUAUCAAGGUUUGGUUGUAAAGCAGCUAGUCAGUCAAAGUAAGAAGACUGGGCAGGGAGAUUAUCCCUUGAAUAAUGAAUUAGACAAAGAACAAGAAGAUGUUGCCAGUACUACUCGUAAAGAGCUUCAAGAACUUUCUUCAUCCAUUAAAGACCUUGUUCUCAAAUCUAGGAAAUCAUCUGUGACGGAAGAGUAAUGAUCUUAAUUUACAUUUGUCAUAUAGUAAGCAUUUUCCCCCAAGGUUGAAGGUGAGUGGUCACAAAAAAGUAGUCACUAUACAACUCCCCUCUCCCUGCAAAAACCACCUCAUACACACACAAUUCAGUUAAAACAGUAGUAUUGUAUUAAAUGUAAAUCUUAAAAAGAUGUGAAUUUUUGUAAAUUGGGUUCUUCAUAGAAGUUUUUUUCCACCUGAUUUUCACACAAAUACUAUAUGAAAUUUUUCAUAUUAUUUUCACAUAAUUUUAAAAAUUACAUAUUUCAGGUUUGUUCUCUUUCCAAAUGUUGAAUGAAAAACAAAUUUUCCGAUCCAUUUAUCCCUGGGGAAGGAUUCAUUUGUUGCGAGUGCCAGUAUACUUAAAUGUAUACUUUAUAUACAUUUAAGCAGAAAUUUAAAAUGUGGUCUUUUUUUUUUUUUAAAGAAACACUUCUGUGUCAGAAAUGAAAAUAAAUCAUGUUUUUUAUUUUUAAAUAGAAAGCACUUCAAAACUAAAAUACAGAAAUUUACAAAAAAGAAAAAUUAUUACUAAGCCCUUGCUCUUAUUUUUGGCAGAAUAAACAUUGAUUUUGGUUGGGGCUGCAAGGAUGCCUUUACAGGUGCACAAGAACGCUAGAGUGGCCCAUGCAUUGCUGUGUUCUCUUCUAAAACAAGCUACUAACAAGAGAGAGAACACAUGCAAUUUAUUACCAGUAAGCAUAAGUCAUAUUUAACAUUGGAAUAACUAAGCAUUUUAUACAAAGAUUUUUCUUUGACCCAGUUUGCAUUUGUACAUUUUAUUUUUUUAGUUCAAUAGCUCCUCUGUCACAUAAUACUUUGUAAAUACUAGUGUGAAAAACAGAUAGGAUGCCUUUUCCAGUGGUAGGAGCAUCUGUAAGUGCAUUUAAAUCAUUAGAAGCUUUUUUCCAAAACUAGAAACCCUUAUUAAAAAAUAGAUAUUUUUUCCUAAAGAUUAUUAGUUAAAAAUAACUAAAAGAGUUCCUUAAUCAUUUCAACCAAAUGAAUUUCAAGCAACAGCUUACUAUUUAUCAAAAAGGGAUUUAAUUAUUUUGAAUAUAAUUAUAAAUUAAAUUUCAAAUAUUUAAAAAUACUAUUUUGUAUAAUUCCUUAUGACAUUUUAAACUUUGUAUUUUAAAAUAUUUGAAUACGAAAAGAUCAGUCUACCUCUACUCCAUUCUAGACAAAGUAUUAAUCCUUAGUGAAAGUAAUUAAUUAAAUUGCCGACUUGGCAUUAUUAUUAAACUUGAUAGGAACGCAACAUUAAAUUUAAAAAUGUUUUCCCAUGGGUAAUUUUCUAUUAUAUAUUUUCAUAUGGGCAAAGGGAAAAAAUGAUAAAUCCUCUGUAAUCACAAACCCCAAUUUCGUUUUGUUUAUUCAGCUUCUAAAAUAUUGAACACCCAGACUUUUAAUUCAACCUUUAAGAACCUUAUCAUUUAUAUUUCAGUAGAUAUCAAAGUAAUCCAUGUUUGUGUCAAAUGAUCAUAGAAAAUAAAUAGAAGAGACAGUGAAGCAAGUAAAAAGAAAAGCAUUGUUUUAAUUUGUUUGCAUUAAUUUUUUUCAUUUGUCAAAAUGCUUCUUUUGUUGCCACAGUAAAGAACAGUUUUUAUUGUUUUGUAAGUAAAAUUACAUAGCUGAUUUUGUAUGUAAAGAUUAAUUUCCAUAAUAAAAAUUAUUGUAUGUUUACUGUGAUCUUAAUGGGC
Molecule: long non-coding RNA, 2122 nt
Filed under: Pan troglodytes (chimpanzee)
Lineage: Eukaryota; Metazoa; Chordata; Mammalia; Primates; Hominidae
Description: long non-coding RNA NONPTRT014747
Source: RNAcentral